UGCCCCAUGGCUGAGUUGGUUACAGCGUCCGACUGUUAAUCAGAAGGUCGUGAGUUCGAGCCUCACUGGGGCAG
RNAcentral lists this transfer RNA (74 nucleotides) under Ganoderma lucidum G.260125-1. RNAcentral describes it as "tRNA-Asn (GTT) (tRNA-Asn-GTT-3-1)". It matches the Rfam family "tRNA". Rfam says of the family: Transfer RNA (tRNA) molecules are approximately 80 nucleotides in length. Their secondary structure includes four short double-helical elements and three loops (D, anti-codon, and T loops). Further hydrogen bonds mediate the characteristic L-shaped molecular structure. tRNAs have two regions of fundamental functional importance: the anti-codon, which is responsible for specific mRNA codon recognition, and the 3' end, to which the tRNAs corresponding amino acid is attached (by aminoacyl-tRNA synthetases). tRNAs cope with the degeneracy of the genetic code in two manners: having more than one tRNA (with a specific anti-codon) for a particular amino acid; and 'wobble' base-pairing, i.e. permitting non-standard base-pairing at the 3rd anti-codon position. Lineage: Eukaryota; Fungi; Basidiomycota; Agaricomycetes; Polyporales; Polyporaceae. The record is from RNAcentral.